GACAGAGGGUGCAAACGUUGUUCGGAAUUACUGGGCGUAAAGCGAGUGUAGGCGGUCUGUAAAGUCGGGUGUGAAAGCCCCGGGCUCAACCCGGGAAGUGCACUCGAAACUCACAGGCUAGAGUAUCGGAGAGGUUGGUGGAAUUCUCGGUGUAGAGGUGAAAUUCGUAGAUAUCGAGAGGAACACCGGUGGCGAAGGCGGCCAACUGGACGAAUACUGACGCUGAGACUCGAAAGCGUGGGGAGCGAACAGG
RNAcentral lists this ribosomal RNA (253 nucleotides) under uncultured bacterium. RNAcentral describes it as "partial 16S ribosomal RNA". It matches the Rfam family "Bacterial small subunit ribosomal RNA", at positions 524 to 776 of the family's 1533-position model. The record is from RNAcentral.